Molecule: ribosomal RNA, 484 nt
Filed under: Halichoeres chloropterus (pastel-green wrasse)
Lineage: Eukaryota; Metazoa; Chordata; Actinopteri; Labriformes; Labridae
Description: partial 12S ribosomal RNA
Rfam family: Bacterial small subunit ribosomal RNA
Source: RNAcentral
AUGACAAUACACCCACCUUAUCCGCCCGGGAACUACGAGCAUUAGCUUAAAACCCAAAGGACUUGACGGUGCUUUAGAUCCAUCUAGAGGAGCCUGUUCUGGAACCGAUACUCCCCGUUCAACCUCACCUUUCCUUGCCCCAUUCCGUCUAUAUACCGCCGUCGUCAGCUUACCCUUUGAAGAUCUUGUAGUGAGCACAAUCGGCACAGCCCAAAACGCCAGGUCGAGGUGUAGCGAAUGGAAAGGGAUAGAAAUGGGCUACAUUCAAUAAAACAUAAUGAAUACGGAUGAUGUCCUGAAAACGAUAUCUGAAGGAGGAUUUAGCAGUAAGUAGAGAAUAGAGAGCUUUACUGAAACUCGGCUCUGAAGCGCGUACACACCGCCCGUCACUCUCUCCAAGCUUACAAAGAACAUUACUAAUAAAUAAGACCUGCAAAGGGGAGGCAAGUCGUAACAUGGUAAGCGUACCGGAAGGUGCGCUUGG